AACGAACGCUGGCGGCAUGCCUAACACAUGCAAGUCGAACGAGACCUUCGGGUCUAGUGGCGCACGGGUGCGUAACGCGUGGGAACCUGCCCUUAGGUUCGGAAUAACUCCCCGAAAGGGGUGCUAAUACCGGAUAAUGUCUUCGGACCAAAGAUUUAUCGCCUUUGGAUGGGCCCGCGUUGGAUUAGCUAGUUGGUAGGGUAAAAGCCUACCAAGGCGACGAUCCAUAGCUGGUCUGAGAGGAUGAUCAGCCACACUGGGACUGAGACACGGCCCAGACUCCUACAGGAGGCAGCAGUGGGGAAUAUUGGACAAUGGGCGAAAGCCUGAUCCAGCAAUGCCGCGUGAGUGAUGAAGGCCUUAGGGUUGUAAAGCUCUUUUACCCGGGAUGAUAAUGACAGUACCGGGAGAAUAAGCACCGGCUAACUCCGUG
Molecule: ribosomal RNA, 433 nt
Filed under: uncultured bacterium
Lineage: Bacteria
Description: partial 16S ribosomal RNA
Rfam family: Bacterial small subunit ribosomal RNA
Source: RNAcentral